This 378-nucleotide unclassified non-coding RNA is filed under the name soil metagenome. RNAcentral describes it as "partial contains 5.8S ribosomal RNA, internal transcribed spacer 2, and large subunit ribosomal RNA". The stretch from base 1 to 120 matches the Rfam family "5.8S ribosomal RNA", at positions 35 to 154 of the family's 154-position model. The record is from RNAcentral.
GAUGAAGAACGCAGCGAAUUGCGAUAAGUAAUGUGAAUUGCAGAAUUCAGUGAAUCAUCGAAUCUUUGAACGCACCUUGCGCCCCUUGGUAUUCCGAGGGGCAUGCCUGUUUGAGUGUCAUGAAUUAUCAAUCCCUCGGGUUUGUAAUGAACCCGUCGGACUUGGACUUGGGUGUUGCCGUGUCAAAGCGGCUCGCCUUAAAUUCGUAAUGGUGGUUUUGGCCUCGUGCUCAGUAUCAGACGUGAUAAGUCGUCGUCUGUUUCCGUUAGCCCUGGCCCCGCCUCACAAACCGUCCCCUCCGGGACAACCUUUUAUUCGAUCUGACCUCAAAUCAGGUAGGGCUACCCGCUGAACUUAAGCAUAUCAAUAAGCGGAGGA